This is a long non-coding RNA of Capra hircus (goat), 541 nucleotides long. RefSeq lists it as uncharacterized. Lineage: Eukaryota; Metazoa; Chordata; Mammalia; Artiodactyla; Bovidae. The record is from RefSeq and is a predicted model, not a curated record. The transcript is spliced from 3 exons.
AUGGGGUGGCAAAGAGUCGGACAUGACUGAGUGACUGAACUGAACUGAACUAAGACAAGAAGAAGAUGGCAGAGUACUUUAACUUCUUUGAGUCUGAAUUUUCAAAUCACCAAAAUGGGAUUUGCAAGGCCAGUUGUAUGGAGGAACUGUCAGGAUGAAACCAGAUAAAAGACUCAACCAUGAAAAUAAGAUCGCUUCAGAGGCUCAGCUUCUUUGGCCCAGAAUCCAAAGGGAUGCCAUUAAGCAUUCUGAAUAAUUAAAGCUAACAAAACUCAGCAUGUUUGUUGUCAUUUUUCAUGAUCAAGAACCAUAAGAGGUAAGCACUUUUAUUAUAAUACAAAUGAGAAAAUUGAAGUUCUGAGAGUUUCUGUAAGCUGCCGAGGCCACUCAGUUGGUGAGUGAUAGAGCAACGAUUUGAACCCAGGCAGUCUAAAUCUAUGCCAACAAAAUUAAUCCCCAAGUUAUUUUGCUUUUGUUGGAAUUCCAUAUUCCAGUUAUAUGUGACACUUUGAGAAUAUGCCAGCCCUCCUCUGAGGAAAGA